UCUUUGGAAAUCGGACGAAAUGCCGUGCCAUAGAAGGUAAAAGCCCAGUAAAAAAGAAUAUUUUUUCUUUUUUUUGUACAUUGAGAACCUAUCUUGAUGGAAGGGGGAACCAACCUCCAGCCUAAGUCAGUUUAUUCGACCGAUAGUGAACAAGUACCGUGAGGGAAAGGUGAAAUAGAACCCAGAUAUGGGAGUGAAAAAGAUUCUUGAAAUUCAUGACUGACAAAAAGUUCGAGCAAACUUAUAUUUUUGUGAUUGAUGCAUGAGGCAUGAGGCAUGAGGCAUGAUUAAUCAUCAUAAUCAUCAUAAUCAUCAUCAUAAUAGCAUUUUAUAAGAGUUGUUAGAGCCUUCCUUUUGCAUAAUGAGUCAACGAGUCUAUGAAAAAAGCUAGCUUAAAAAAGAAGGCGAAGCGAAAGCAAGUUCGAAGAGAGCGAGGAUAUACCAAAAGUUUUUUUCAUAGGACCCGAAACUAAGUGAUCUACCCAAGACCAGGUUGAAGAAUGGUCGAGAGGCCUUUGGAGGACCGAACCCAUGUCUGUUGCAAAAGGCAGGGAUGAGUUUUGGGUAGGGGUGAAAGGCCAAUCAAACUUAGAGAUAGCUGGUUUUCUGCGAAAUCUAUUGAGGUAGAGCGUUUUUUAGAAGUAAUUAAACUAUAUGUAUGCUGUUGCUUUGCAUCUACAUACAUGUAUUUGAUUCGAGCUCUUUAGGGAGUAGAGCACUCGUUCGACAAGGGUGGCCCAAAGCCUUACCGACUCUUAUGAAACUCCGAACACCUAGAAGAGAAUGAAAAGCAGACAGACAAGAGGUGCAAAGGUCUUUCUGUCGAGAGGGAAACAGCCCAGAUGGUCUGCUAAGGUCCCGAAGCUGAGUCUGAGUGAGAAAAGAAGUGUGUGUUCCUGGACACCUGGGAGGUGGGCUUGGAAGCAGCCAUCCUUUCAAGAAAGCGUAAGAGCUCACCAGGCGAGAACACAUGCGCUGAAAAUGUAUCGGGACUCAAGACUCACACCGAAGCAACCAAAAAAGUGUAUGAUUACGUAAAUUCAUGCAUUUCUUCGUAGCAGAACGUUCUGUUCCAUAUAAAACCGAAAGGAAUGAUCAGAAGUGAGAAUGUUGACAUGAGUAACGUUAUCUUGUGUCUGAAUCACAAGCGCCGAAAAUCCAAGGUCUUCUCUGUUCCGUUGAGCGGCAGAGAGAAAAGCCGGCCCCUUAGAAAAAUCUGAAAAGAUUCUUUGAUGGGAAAAAAAACGCCUUUUUUUUGUGACAAAAAAGAUUCAAGAUAAGAAGUCAUUGGAUUCUUUUUAUUUUGAUGCUUUUUUUCUGGAAAGAGCAAAAAAAACGUAAUCUUUCAUACCGAAAUGCAUCAUAGAUGCACAUAGGUGCCUUAGGCUAGAGAAAAUCUAUGGGGGUAUAGAGUAUUGCGGUAUUCUGUAUUGCAUCGUGAUUGGCCAAGGUUAAAAUGAAAGAAAAAGACCGUACUGAAGACCGCCUCUGGUGGAUUUGUGAAUUUCACAAAGGCGAUUGAGUGAACCAUCAUGAAGGAACUCGGCAAAAUCGCCUCGUACCUUUGGAAGAUGGGGAGCCAAUAAUAGGAGAAAUAUCGCAACUUUUAGCAUUGAUGCAUCUACGAUGCUGAUAUGAUCUUUAGAGCACAUUUUUGCCUAACAUUGGAAGCAUAAAAGAGGGAGCAACGACUGUUUAGUAAAAACAUAGGACUUCGCAAAAUCUUAAAAUGAUGUAUGAGGUCUGACACCUGCCCGGUGCUGGUAGUCCAAAAGGAGAUGUGUCCGUUCCAAAGAAGAAGAUUCAUUUCCGAAAUGAAAUGUUUUUCUUUUUAGAAUGUCAAGCAUUGAAUGGAAAACCCAGUAAACGGCGGCCAUAACUCUGAUGGUCCUAAGGUAGCGAAAUUCCUUGUCGGGUAAGUUCCGACCUGCAUGAAUGGUGUAACGAUUGCUCCGCUGUCUCCAUGGUGGACUCAGUGAAAUUGAAUUUUCCGUGAAGAUGCGGAAGACUUGCAGUUAGACGGUAAGACCCUAUACACCUUUACUGCAACCUUGCAACAAAGGAAGAAGGCAAUUGUCUAGGAUAGGCGGGAGUUCAGUAUGAUUUAUCAUGUUGAUAAAUCACGUUGAUUUAUCAAACUGAACGCCCUUGGAAUACCGCCCUUUUUCUUUUUUUCUUUUUAUGAGUGAACAUAUUAAAAGAUAUGUUUUUCAGACAUUGCAUGGUGGGUAGUUUGGCUGGGGCGGCAGCCUCCUACAGAGUAACGGAGGCGCGCAAUGGUAAACUCAAACAAGUCAGAUAUUUGUUGGAGAGCGUAAUGGUAAAAGUUUGCUUGACUGCGAGACCGACAAGUCGAGCAGGAACGAAAGUUGGCCAUAGUGAUCCGGGAGUACUUGGUGGAAAGGCUCUCGCUCAACGAAUCAAAGGUACGUUAGGGAUAACAGGCUAAUGACUCCCAAGAGUCCUUAUCGACGGAGUUGUUUGGCACCUCGAUGUCUCCUCUUUACAUCCUGGCGCUGAAGAAGGUGCCAAGGGUUCGGCUGUUCGCCGAUGAAAGUAGCACGUGAGGUGGGUUUAGAACGUCGUGAGACAGUUCGGUCCCUAUCUGCCGUGG
RNAcentral lists this ribosomal RNA (2614 nucleotides) under Dolichomastix tenuilepis. RNAcentral describes it as "partial Bacterial large subunit ribosomal RNA". It matches the Rfam family "Bacterial large subunit ribosomal RNA", at positions 321 to 2650 of the family's 2925-position model. Lineage: Eukaryota; Viridiplantae; Chlorophyta; Mamiellophyceae; Dolichomastigales; Dolichomastigaceae. The record is from RNAcentral.